Long non-coding RNA from Pan troglodytes (chimpanzee), 7721 nucleotides. RefSeq lists it as uncharacterized. The record is from RefSeq and is a predicted model, not a curated record. The transcript is spliced from 4 exons. Lineage: Eukaryota; Metazoa; Chordata; Mammalia; Primates; Hominidae.
GGCUUUUGUGGGGAGUCCUGACUUUGCUUCAGAAAGGACAGCAGAAUGGUAAGGAAUAGGUCAAAAUUCAGGUAUGGUCUCAUUUGCAUUGUUGCCCAAGAGCUUCCUGGAAAGAGUACGGAGCUCUGUGGGCCAAGUCUUGUGGCCUAGAUAUCAUGACUCCAUGUUGGGCCUAGAGCUCAGCCUGAGGGACCAUAGUUGUCGUGACAGCCUCCAGUAGUUCCUGGAGCAGCAAGAAUAAGGUCUCUUGUUUACAGAGGAUGUCCCACACUCCUCAGCAGUGUCGAGAAGAGGUUGUCUCCAGCACCUGCCUAGGAGACUGGUCUCAAAAGUCUAGAAACCAGUAAUCAGAUGUCACUGACUGUAGGAUACAAGUGGAAUGAUAUUCUACUAGGAAACAAGCAUUUCUUAAAAAAUUACAAAAAUGUAAACUGGUAACUGUGAUAAAUGCUUAAAGGUGACAUCUCUGAUGGUGUCCAUCAAGACUAAGCUUGAUUCUCUCCAUUUGAAGACCUCUGGGUCAGUCCUCAAAUCUGCGUCCCGAGGGCUUAAGGUAAUCACAGCAAUCGGCCCUGACUUUUGAGUGGACAGAUCCUUAUCUUGUCUGCUCCUUUCCUUUUGUGCUGUUAUGACUAAUCUUUUUUUUUUUUUUCCUUUGAAACAUGAUCUUACUCUGUCACCCAGGCUGGAGUACAGUGGUGCAAUCACAGCUCACUGCAGCGUCAACCUCCUGGGCUCCAGCCAUCCUCCCACCUCAGCCUCCCAAGUAGCUGGGAGUGCACCAGCGUACCCAGCUAAUCUUUGUAAUUUUCGUAAAGAUGGGAUUUUGCCAUGUUGCCAUGCUGGUCUCGAAUUUCUAGGCUCAAGUAAUCCUCCUGCCUCAGCCUCACAAAGUGCUGGGAUUACAGGUAUGAGCCACCCCACCCGGCCAUGACUAAUCUUAAUAUGUCUAUUUUUGCUCAUUGUCACUGAGUGGACCUGGAGGCUGAGGGCUGGAAGAGCAACUGGAAUUGCUGUAGUGCCAAAUAUAUCCCCUUUCAUGUUGAUGCCACCCUGGCCAAGGUAUCAUUUUUGUGUGGCAGCCAGAGAAAUCUUUUCAAAAAGAAGAUGGAACUCUAGUCCUGUGGCUGCCAGUUGUCUACAGGUCCUGGCCUUUCCUGCCCCCAGGCUCAUCUGUAUCCAGGACUGCCUGGGAGUCCAGCUCCAGUCCAGUUCAGAGGUAACAAGCAACGUUAUUGUAGCUUUAUGUAAAAUAACCAGAAAGUAGAAAUGACCCAACUCUCUAUUGACAAGAAUGGAUCAACAUCCUGUUGCAUCCACGCAAUGGAAUCCUAGUGAGUAUUAAAGUACUGACACAGGAAACCAUGUAGCUGAAUUUUAAAGCACUGGGUAAGUAAAGGAAGCCAGGCACAAAAGAUGAAAUACUUGAAGUUUUAUUUGUUUGACCUCCAGGAAAGGCAGUAGCACAAUGACAGAAGGCUGGGUCUGGGUCUGGGAGGGGAUCGGUUGCCAAGGGCAUGACACAACUUUUUGUGGUGAGGAAAUUCUUCUUCUUCUUCUUCUUUUUUUUUUUGAGAUGGAGUCUCGCUCUGUCACCCAGGCUGGAGUGUAGUGGUGCGAUCUCGGCUCACUGCAACCUCCGCCUCACGGGUUCAAGUGAUUCUCCUGCCUCAGCCUCCCAAGUAGCUGGCAUUACAGGUAUGUGCCACCAAGCCCAGCUAAUUUUUGUGUUUUUAGUGGAGACAGGGUUUCGCCAUGUUGGCCAGGCUGGUCUUGAACUCAUGACCUCAAGUGAUCCUCCCGCCUCAGCCUUCCAAAGUGCUGGGAUUACAAGCAUGAGCCAUUGCGCCUGGCUGGGGAAAUUAUUCUGUAACUUGAUUUCGGUGGUGGUUUUAUGAUUAUAUCCACUUAUUAAAAUCAUUGAAUUAUACACUUAAGAAAGUAACCACUCUGAAAAGGAUAGUACUGAGUUUGAAAACCAGCAGUUUGAAAAAGAUGGUACCAAGGUUAAAAAUCAAAUGCAGUAGAAUAUCCAAGUAUCCAGGAAGAGCACCUUCCUAAUGUGAUUGAUUUUAUGGAAAAGAAUAAGAGAAGAAUGGAGCAUGAUACAGAAUUCAAACAUUAUUUUCCACAUUGGGGACGCCAAAAUGAAUGGCUCGGUCUAGUGUAGGAGGCAGGUGCUACACAGGCUGACUUUCUAAUGAGGUCCAAAAAUCUUGUAUUUCACUCCAGCUAGAUUGUGAAAAUAGUAAUAGUAACACCAGGUCUUAGCCUGGAUUUCUCAGAAAGCGGAAGCUUAUGAGCUACCCCUUGAUUGGAGAGUGCAGCCACAGAAGCAGGAUGAGAGGAAAGAGGGGUAAAGCAGGAGAAGAGGGCUAGCAACAACUUAGUAUCAUAUGCAAAUGAUGCUUCACCUCAAAGGACUCUGCUGAGAAACCACAGGAACCCUAGGGGUAGGAAGGGAUCAGAAUUCAUCUACUGGCUUCUGCUUCCCAUAAUCAAAAGUUAGCUCUGGGUGGGCACCAGCAACCCUGCCAUUGUGACCUGCACGACGUGAGUGCUUAGCAGGCUGCAGCAAGAAGACACUUGCUGCAGCCCACCAGAACUGGUUGUUCCAGUGGCGGCUGAGAUGGAACAAGUGGACUUGCCCCAGAGACAGGUGGAGCAGAGAGGAUCUGAGGUGGCACAUUAAGAGGGAUUAUAAAUAAUGUGUAUAUUGACAGAGGUCAGUGGUAAGUACAGGUUGUCAGACAAAACAUGCAUGUCACUGGAUCAUUCUUAUCUAAAGGAUGCCCCCAAAAUGUCAGUACAGCCGGUAUAUGUGACAGUGAGACCAGCAACAUUUUCUAAGAUAGGGAGAGGGGCAGAUUCCUGGCCUGAAUUUUACCAAGAAGUCCACAGUUGUAGGUGAUAAUGUCUGAAUGAGUGAAGGUUGUAUCAGACCUUCUGGGCCCAUGAAGGUCUCCCUUCAGACCAGUCUAUAGAUUGAUCCAUCCAAUGAUCCAUCUACCCGCCCACACACCCACCCAUUGACCUACCCAGCCAUCCAUCCAUCAAUCCAUCCACCCAUCCAUCCAUGGCUGGAGCAACUGUUCUCAUAACUUUGUAGAUGGGUGUCUGAAACUACCUCAUCAGAGUCAGGUACACCUCACCAGUCUCAGAGCUCUAUCAUGUAAAAAUAUGAUCACAGGCCAUGCAGGUAUAAGCAGACUCCCCAGCCACCAACCUCAGACCUUAAGGAUGAGUACAGCCCAAUGCCAGAGCAUUCUUAAACUCAGGUGAGGAACCAGAACAGCGGUGAUUUUCUCAGCUGUCUCCAGGAGUCAUGCUAACAAGUCCUCUCACCUAUAUAAUAGGGGGUAUCCUGCACAAUUAUAAAUUAGUGUGGGAGUUUGAGGUCCAGGAUUCCAUCAUCCUUUCUUCUCUCCAGGUUUCUGACUGAGGAGAUGGGAAACAAUGUGUCUGUUAAUGUAUUAAUACCAGGACGAGGGUGCAAAGCUUUUGUUAAGAGCUGUAGUGGAGAAUGCAGUCAAGGUCAGAGGAUUGACACAAGUCCUCUAGUGUCUACCUUUAUUCCUCUUAAGUCUAAGAAUCCAGAGACCCCAUGAGGAUGGAUGAGAAGCUGGCACCAAGAGAAAGAAUGCCCAUCUGGGUGGCGAGGGCAGCUGGUCUUGUCACCCAGUAACAGAUGGACAGAGACCAUGUGGUGGCCACACAUUACCUUUCAACUCAGGGCCCUGCCUACCAAUGCAGGGUGGUCCAGGCACUAGCCAAUCAGAUUGCCCCCCACCAUGGGGAGGAGCAAAUACAGGACGACAGAGGUGGAGCAGGGGGCAGAGUGUUCCCUCUUCUUUGUCAUGGAGGAAGGAAGUUGGAUGGGAGUUCCAUCCUUUCCAUGAGUGGAGGGAAGUGAGGACUGAAGAAAGGAGCCCAGUGGUGGUGACAGCAGAGACAGUGGCAGAGCCAGGGUCCAUGGAUGGGCAAAGGAGCCCCUAGCCCACUCUGACAAUGGUCAGGGAGGGCUCCCUGGGGAGGAGGUAAAUGACCCGCACUCAAGCAGUUAGCUGCAGAGAGGACGGCCGGGCAUCUACACAGAAGGGACAGCGUGAUCAAAGGCAAGGAGAUGAGACACAGUGUAUGGGGACUGGCCAUAAUUUAGGCUUUCAGGAGCCUAUGGCCUGCAGCAGCCUGAGGCAGGAGAGGUAGGCUAAGUCGGAUCCUGAAGGGGCUUGCAGACCACCCUAUGUGCCUAGAGAAUGAGGAGGGAAGGCCGGAGAGUGAUAGCAAAAAUCAAUCCUCUAAAUGUUACGGGGUUUUAUUUUUAAAAUGAAUUUGCAUGAUCCAGGAUCAGGAAAAAUCCAGCCUCUGAUCUCCUGUUUACCUGACACAUUCGUUGGUUCCUGUUUCUGCCCUCCUUGCUACACUGGAGAAUUGGGGGAGGGCCAGCAGGGGGCUUUCCACCCCUGAUAUUAGGCCAGUGGGAGGAGAGGCCGAGGAGCCAGCCCAGACCCCUGGAGGGGCAGGGGGCAGUCACUUGCAGUUCUCAGAGCCUCCACUGUAUGCUGAGCUCCAGUGCACUGUAUAUACUGGGGGCCUGUGGAAGUGGUCUUGGGGGAGAGUAGAGACAGGAACAAAUUGAACAGUACACCCAGCCCUGAAGUGUUACUUUCCUGUGGCUGCUACAAUAAAUUUGCACACGUUUAGUGGCUUAAAGCAACAUAGAUUUGUUAUCUUACAGUUCUAGAGGUCAGAAGGCUGAAAUGGGUCUCACUGGCUAGAAUCAAGGCGGCAGAGCUGGGCUCCUGCUGCAGGCUCUGUGAGGUAGUCUGCUCCUUUCUUUUUCCAGCUUCUAGAAGUGUCUGCUUUCCUUGAUCAAGGCUGUUGCAUCUUCAGCUGGAGCAUCUUCAGCUGGAGCAUCUUCAGCUCCAGCAGGCAGCAAGCACAUCUCCUCUGGCCUCUGCUUCUGCCAUCUCACCUCCUCCUCUGGCUCUCUUCCUCUUCUGCUUUGAAGGACCCUUGUGAUUAGAUCGGGCAUGCCUGGAUAAUCCAGCACAGUCUCCCCUCUCAAGAUCCUUAAUUUAAUCAUAGCUGCACAGUCCCUUUUGUCCUGUAAGAGACAUCUUCACAGGUUUUGGGGAUUAGAACCAGACCGUCUUUGGAGGGGCAUCCUUCUGCCUGCCAUAUGUGACUUGGGGGCAUGCGGGAAAUGGCUGGAGCGUAACCACAAAGCAUACAGCAUGCAGCCAAGCAACAUGCGACAAGAUGAAUCCACAAGUGCCGGGGAGACAACCAGUGAGGAAGAAGCCCAGGAGACUUCUUGGAGGAAGCGAGUUUCAAACCAGAGACAGGAGCUCACCCUGUCACCUAGACUGGAGUGCAGUGGCACAGUCAUAAUUCACUGCAGCCUCAAUCUUCCAAGCUCAAGUGAUCCUCCUGCCUCAGCCUCCUGAGUAGCUGGGACCACAGACACUCACUACCAUACCCAGGUCCUCAUAGACAUCUAAGAGGGGAGGAUCCGCUGUGGAAGUGCAUGGGCUGGAGAUUUUUCUACAUUGCUGGCACUUCUCCAUCGGCAGGGGGACUGUGGAAAUCUGUGCUCACCAAAUACUGCUCAGCAGUCCUGCAUCUUGGAGAUGUACCUGGGCUCCUUUGGGGAGGCUCACAGCAGAAACAGAUGCCAGUUAGUCAACUUGAGGCAGGAAGGAGAGGCUUAAGCCCCUGACUCUUGAUAAGACACUCUUCUUGGGAAGAAGGCCACAUUCAAGUAGAAGGCAAAGCAGAUGGUGAGAAAGGCCCACCAGCAUCAGGGGUCUCCAGCUGGCUGUGCUUCCGGGAAUGCAGCCCAUUCUGCAGCAUCACGGCUGGCACCAGCUCCCUGUUCCCAACCUCCAACCUGCCAAGGUUGGCCAGAAGUAGACAUAUCAUCUGUCAAACUGAAAGCAGUCUGGGAGCUACAGAGCAGCUGUGUGCUCAGGAAGAAGAGGACUGAGUUUGGUGGGCAUCUGGCCAGUUCCUGCCACCAUGCUGCUGGAUGAGAAAGCUGGAUGAAGUUCCUUAUUAAGGGCAAAUGAGUGAGUCUCCUGACUUGACUAGGUUUGUGCCUUCAGAGCUCUGUCUCCUGUGGUGAAUCACACACUCCAGCCAACAAUUCUGCCAUUCUUCAAAUCAUGCUUGGGAUUCCAUUUUUGGUACUCUCUUCAGAGCCUUUGAAUAUUCUAAUGAAUGGUAAAUUUUUAUCCUUUGAGAGUUCUUUUGAUUCCUAGAAGCACCAGAAAUCAUUUGGAACCAAGCCUGGGAAUAAGGGGACUGAUCAAGCUAAAUCACCUUUUUUGGGUCAAAAAUGAGGUGUGACCAUAAAGUAAACCAACUCUUGAGGCAAAUUCCAAAGAUGAGAUACCCACACAGCACAUUUUGAGGAUUGACUGUGUCACUGGAAUAAUUCUGUGAGGCUUCCCAAGGGGCUGAUUUGGAAGGAACAACAUUCAUUUACAUGCAGUCAUGUGCCACAUGAUGACAUUUGGGUCAAAGACAGAACACAUAUAUGACAGGGGUCCCAUAAGAUUAUAUAAGAAAAUUCCUAUCACCUAAUGAUGUUAUAGCCAUUGUAAUGUCAUAACACAACACAUUACUCGUGCUUGUGGUGAUGCUGGUGUAAACAAACCCACUUCACUGCCAGUUGUAUAAAAGUAUAGCACAUAUUAAUACAAUUAUAUAUAGUACAUAAUACUUGAUAAUAAACAACCAUGUUACUGGUUUAUAUAUUUAGUAUACUAUACUUUUUAUUGUUAUCUUAUUUUUUGUUUUUCUUUUCGUUUUUGAGACAGAGUCUUGCUCUAUCACCCAGGAUGGAGUGCAGUGGCAUGAUCUUGGCUCACUACAACCUCCGCCUCCUGGGUUCAAGUGAUCCUCCCACCUCAGCUUCCCAAGUAGCUGGGAUUACAGGCGUGUACAACCACACCCAGCUAAUUUUGUUUUGUGUUUUUAAUAGAGACAGGGUUUCACCAUGUUGGCCAGGCUGGUCUCGAACUCCUGACCUCAAGUAAUCCACCUGCCUUGGCUUCCCAAAGUGCUGGGAUUACAGGUGUGAGCCACCACACUCAGCCUUUUUAUUGUUAUUUUAGAGUGUACACCUGCUACUUAUUAAAAAAGAAGUGGUGUAGAAAAAAGAAAAAUUAAAUAAAUCUGCUAAAAUCUCUUUUUAAAAUUUAAAGUAAACCUAAUCUGGUAUUUCCAGAUUAAAAAAAAAGAGUUAAGUGUAAAAUAGCCUCAGGCAGGUCCUUCAGGAGGUAUUCUAGAAGAAGGCAUUGUUAUUACAGGAGAUGGCAGCUCCAUGUGUAUUAUUGCCCCUGAAGACCCGCCAGUGGGGCAAGAUGUGGAGAUGGAAGACAGUGAUAGUGAUGAUCCUGACCCUGUGUAGAUCUAAUGUGUGUGUUUGUAUCUUUGUUUUUAACAAAAAAGCUUAAAAAGUAAAAACAAGUAAAAAAAUUUAAAAGUAGAAAAAAAUUAGAAAAUUAGAAAAAAAGUAGAAAAGUAGAAAAAAGCAGAAAUUAUAGAAUAAGGAUGUAAAGGAUAUAAAGAAAGAACAUCUUUUUGUAUAGCUAUACAAUGUGUUUGUGUUUUAGCUAAAUGUUAAUAUAAAAGAGAUAAAAAGUUAAAAAAAUUAAAGGUUUAUAAAGUAAAAAUGUUACAUUAAGGUUAAUUUGUUAUUGAAGAAAGAAAAA